GACCCGGGAGAGUCCGCCGCAGGCGGCGCCGAAGGGGAUCGCAAAAGCUCUCAGGCAAAAGGAUCGGGU
This 69-nucleotide non-coding RNA is filed under the name bovine gut metagenome. RNAcentral's name for it is "Glycine riboswitch". It matches the Rfam family "Glycine riboswitch aptamer", at positions 8 to 87 of the family's 94-position model. From Rfam's summary of the family: This family represents the bacterial glycine riboswitch. Glycine riboswitches usually consist of two metabolite-binding aptamers domains with similar structures in tandem. The record is from RNAcentral.